CCAUCAGUACGGAAUAACAUUUAGAAAUAGAUGCUAAUACCGUAUAUUCUCUUCGGAGGAAAGAUUUAUCGCUGAUGGAUGAGCCCGCGUCAGAUUAGGUAGUUGGUAGGGUAAUGGUCUACCAAGCCAACGAUCUGUAGCUGGUCUGAGAGGAUGAUCAGCCACACUGGGACUGAGAUACGGCCCAGACUCCUACGGGAGGCAGCAGUGGGGAAUAUUGGACAAUGGGCGAAAGCCUGAUCCAGCAAUACCGAGUGGGUGACGAAGGCCUUAGGGUUGUAAAGCCCUUUUCAGCAGGGAAGAUAAUGACGGUACCUGACCAAGAAAGCCCCGGCUAACUCCGUGCCAGCAGCCGCGGUAAGACGGAGGGGGCUAGCGUUGUUCGGAAUUACUGGGCGUAAAGAGUGCGUAGGCGGUUUAGUAAGUUGGAAGUGAAAGCCCGAGGCUUAACCUCGGAACUGCUUUCAAAACUACUAAUCUAGAGUGUAGUAGGGGAUGAUGGAAUUCCUAGUGUAGAGGUGAAAUUCUUAGAUAUUAGGAGGAACACCGGUGGCGAAGGCGGUC
This 564-nucleotide ribosomal RNA is filed under the name Rickettsia endosymbiont of Mermessus sp. RNAcentral's name for it is "bacterial SSU rRNA". It matches the Rfam family "Bacterial small subunit ribosomal RNA", at positions 130 to 726 of the family's 1533-position model. Lineage: Bacteria; Pseudomonadati; Pseudomonadota; Alphaproteobacteria; Rickettsiales; Rickettsiaceae. The record is from RNAcentral.